UAUGAAAGCCGUUUGUACCCGAAGUCACCCUCAAAAGGUGCCGAAGGUAUGGAUGGUGAUUGGAGUG
This 67-nucleotide ribosomal RNA is filed under the name uncultured bacterium. RNAcentral's name for it is "partial 16S ribosomal RNA". The record is from RNAcentral.